AGAGUUUGAUCCUGGCUCAGAUUGAACGCUGGCGGCAGGCUUAACACAUGCAAGUCGAGCGGGGAAAUGUAGCUUGCUACAUUACCUAGCGGCGGACGGGUGAGUAAUGCUUAGGAAUCUGCCUAUUAGUGGGGGACAACAUCUCGAAAGGGAUGCUAAUACCGCAUACGUCCUACGGGAGAAAGCAGGGGACCUUCGGGCCUUGCGCUAAUAGAUGAGCCUAAGUCGGAUUAGCUAGUUGGUGGGGUAAAGGCCUACCAAGGCGACGAUCUGUAGCGGGUCUGAGAGGAUGAUCCGCCACACUGGGACUGAGACACGGCCCAGACUCCUACGGGAGGCAGCAGUGGGGAAUAUUGGACAAUGGGGGGAACCCUGAUCCAGCCAUGCCGCGUGUGUGAAGAAGGCCUUUUGGUUGUAAAGCACUUUAAGCGA
RNAcentral lists this ribosomal RNA (432 nucleotides) under uncultured bacterium. Its description in RNAcentral is "bacterial SSU rRNA". It matches the Rfam family "Bacterial small subunit ribosomal RNA", at positions 8 to 442 of the family's 1533-position model. The record is from RNAcentral.